Oncorhynchus gorbuscha (pink salmon) is the source of this 2452-nucleotide RNA transcript. It is a transcript of the gene named CUGBP Elav-like family member 3, with no coding region annotated. NCBI's taxonomy places the organism in Eukaryota, Metazoa, Chordata, Actinopteri, Salmoniformes, Salmonidae. The transcript has 15 exons. The record is from RefSeq and is a predicted model, not a curated record.
GAGAGAGGGAGACACCGGUAGACGACGUCAAACGCUACGGUAGCCUAUACACUGAGGGAAAAGAGGGGUAGCGCGGGAGGGAAACGUUAGAUAUUAAUAAGUAUAUUUUAAUAUAUGUGUUAGCCCUUAAAUGUUUAUAUAAAUGGACUGCUGGAUUUAUCAAUAGCUGGCUGCUGCAGAAAUAGUUUUUAAGAAUAUAGCCUUGUAGCCUAAUUAUUGCAGAAAUUUGAGUAUUCUAACAGGCAGGGCAGUACUCAGAGAGUGACUGACUGGCUUUACCGGAUUUGCCAAGAGUCGUGACGAGAGGAUAUAGCAAAUAACGGAUCACCAAGGCACCGGGUUGGGGAUAUGUGAUCUGAUGAUCGCUUGCCAAGACGUGAGACCUUAACCGGAGCAGCAACUCCACUGAUCUGUUACGGAUUCGAAAUCGGGAGAGGGAGCGAUUGGCACAAAGAGCGGAGAACGAAUCGCAUUGAGCCUACUAUUCCCGGAGGGAGGAUAACAGGAGACGCGCACUGAAGACAACAACGCCACGGUAAAACGUGGUUAAAAUAAACAAAAUCAUCUCAAAUUACUCUCGGGAUUAUUUUUCAACGUGGAGUGAAGGAUCUCUUGAAAUCGGGGCUCCGAACACUCUCACGUCCUAAAGAGGACCACGACUCUGCUCGCACUCACCGCGCUCUUCUCACCUCGAACCCCGCAGAGCGCCUGUCGUUCUCCCCGCUGUCUCCCGAUGAAGGAAGCCGACGCGAUCAAGCUGUUCGUGGGGCAGAUUCCUCGGAAUCUAGAGGAGAAGGACCUCAAACCGAUCUUUGAACAGUUCGGGAAGAUCUACGAGCUGACGGUGAUAAAGGACAAAUACACCGGCAUGCACAAAGGAUGUGCAUUCCUGACAUACUGUGCGAGGGAGUCAGCGCUGAAGGCCCAGAGUGCUUUGCAUGAGCAGAAGACGCUACCGGGGAUGAACCGACCCAUCCAGGUAAAACCAGCUGACAGCGAGGGGAGAGGAGAAGACAGGAAGUUGUUUGUGGGCAUGCUGGGUAAACAGCAGAGUGAUGAAGACGUCAAGAGGCUGUUUGAGCCCUUUGGCACUAUAGACGAGUGUACUGUACUACGGGGGCCAGACGGCACCAGUAAAGGUUGUGCGUUUGUGAAGUACCAGGGACAUGCUGAAGCUCAGGCUGCCAUUAGCACCCUGCAUGGGAGCCGCACACUGCCUGGUGCGUCGUCCAGUCUGGUGGUGAAGUUUGCCGACACAGAGAAGGAGAGAGGGCUGAGACGGAUGCAGCAGGUGGCAUCACAGCUGGGCAUCUUCAGCCCCACCAUGACACUUAACUUCCCUGCUUACAACGCUUACACACAGGCCGUCAGCGCACAGGCGAUUGUCCAGCAACAAGCUCUGGUUGCUCAGUCAGCGUACCUGUCUCCUGUAGCAACUGUUGCCAGUUUACAGAUGCAGCAGAUGGCAGCGCUCAACGCAAACGGAAUCAUCGCCACGCCCAUCACAUCUUCCUCUGAGUCUAGUAGCUGUCAAUCACAAUAUCUCCUCCACUGUGAUUGGUCCUCCCGGUUUGCAGGUACGAAUACUCCUCCAACCAUCUCAGCCACGCCCGUGCCAUCACUACCUCCACCUCUAGGAGUCAAUGGUUACAGUCCACCAACCAAUGGACAGCAAGCAUCAGAAGCACUAUACACCAAUGGCAUUCAUGCGUACCAAGCCCAGAGUCCAGCAUUAUCUCUAGAUCCUCUCCAGCAGGCGUAUGCAGGCAUGCAGCACUACACAGCGGCGUACCCUGCUGCCUAUGGAUUGGUCGGCCAGCAUUUUCCACAGCAACCUACCCUGGUUGCCCAGCAACACCAGCAGCCCCAGCAACAGCAGCAGCGAGAAGGGCCGGAGGGUUGUAAUAUCUUUAUCUACCACCUGCCUCAGGAGUUCAGUGACAGUGAGAUGCUCCAGAUGUUUCUGCCCUUUGGAAACGUCAUCUCAGCUAAAGUCUUUGUAGACCGCGCCACCAACCAGAGCAAGUGCUUCGGUUUUGUGAGUUUUGACAACCCAUCCAGUGCCCAGACUGCCAUCCAGGCUAUGAAUGGGUUCCAGAUCGGCAUGAAGAGACUCAAGGUGCAGCUGAAACGACCUAAAGACGCCAACCGCCCCUACUGAAGGAGAGAGGAGAGAGAUCCUCCCGUCCAAUCAUAAUUCGCGGGGAUCCCAUCACUAUGGUUACCUAGCGACCGAUAAAGCCCCGACCCCCCUUCCUCUCACGUGUUGUGAAGUUUUCAGACUCCGGCCGUGGUGGAAUCCCAGCGUGCAUUGCGCCCUCAGACCUACUACCUUUCUUUUGAGCGACGGGGAACAGCACACAUACACCACACACACACACACACACACACACACACACACACACACACACACACACACACACACACACACACACACACACACACACACACA